Molecule: non-coding RNA, 5532 nt
Organism: Pelobates cultripes (western spadefoot toad)
Lineage: Eukaryota; Metazoa; Chordata; Amphibia; Anura; Pelobatidae
Source: the annotation of a GenBank genome assembly
GAUCCACACUGACUAACACACGGACGCACACCCAGAUACACAGAUAAUCAAUACCAUUCCAUAUAGACGCACACUCACAGAUAAACUCAUACAUACAAACACUCAUGGAUACACACAGACGCAGAUCCAUACUCCCGGAUACAUUCACAGAUUUUCAAUGACACACACAUACAAACACUCACAGACAUUCACAUACACACAGAUCUCAGGGCACCACUCUGCACUGCUGGUCAGUGGGUUAGCAGCCAGUAGCUCAUUUAAAAGACUCUCAGUUGCCAGGUGUCCAGUGUCUAACCAGACAGUCUGGAAAUUGAGUUGCCGGCAGUUUAUCUCCUACACCACGGGAGGAAAGAAGUUGCUUGGGGACAACACAUGGACCAUGGGCCAGUGGUUUGAGAUCCCUGUUCUAUAUAAUGCAGUAAAAGGGGGGACAUUUUCCACCUAUGGUUUCUCUUUAAUCAGCCAUUACCCCUUUCUCUCCACUCACUAUCCGGCUCCACUCCUAUACGUUUGUGAUUUCGUGGAGCCUAAUGUUAGCGGUGGGAGAGGGAAGGCUGCCUAAUAGUGAUGGGAGAGGGAGGACUUGAUGCUUAAUAGUGCCGAGAGAAGGAGGGGGUGAUGGAAUAGGGAGGUUCAAUGUCUAAUGGUGAUGGGAAGGAGAGUAAUGCCUUGUGGUGAUGGGAGAGAGAUGGGAUGCUGAUGAAUGAAUGGGAGAGGAAAUGAGCUGUGUUUAAUGGUGAUGGGAGAACAAGGAGGAUACCACCAUCCUCCUCCAUCAUCACUUAGCACCACUCCCUUCCUCUCCCAUAUCCAUUAUGUGUCACCCUCCAACUCUCUUACAUCACAAUCAGGUGUCACACCCUCCCACUCCCAUCACCAUGAGGCAUCCAUCAGCCCCUCCCUUUCCCAUCUCCAUUAGAUUCACCCCUAUAUCUCCUAUCUAUCAUUUGCGGGAUACUAAUAAAAUAAAGAAACUAAUCCUGGUGGUGGAAGAUGAAGGGGGUUACCUUAUGGUGAUGGGAGAAGGAAUUUAUGGCUAAUAAUCACGGGAGAAGGAGGGGGCUGGUAUCUUAUGGCGGUGAGAGAAGAAGAGGUUUAUUCCAAAUGGUGAUAGGAGAGGGAUUAUGCCUAAUGGUGGUGCUAGAGGGAGGGGAUGAUACCUAGUUAUAGUCAGCUAGGGCCCUCCUUUUUGUAUCAUCCACUCCCUCUUCCAUCACCAUUAGUCACCACCUCCUCUUUCUCCCAUCACGAUCAAGCAUCACCCCCUCUCUCUCCUAUCAACAUUAGGCAUGACCCUACACCUCUCUCACCACUAUUUGGCAACCAUAACUCCUUUCCAUUGCCACCACAACUCGACAUCACCCCCCUCCAUCUUCCAUCUUCCAGCAGAGGAGAGAGUGAGGCUCAGGGAGAAUGCUGUAGAUAGGAAUAGGAAAUGGUUUACUAGAGGUUUUAAAGGGGGGAGGGUGAUUCCUAAUGGUGAUGGGAGUGGGAGGGAAUAUAAUUCCUAAUAGUGAGGGUAGUGGUAGGCGAGAUGCGCUAUGGUGGUAGAAGAGGGGUGAUUCCUAAUGGUGAUGGAAGUGGGAGGGAAUAUAAUUCCUAAUAGUGAGGGUAGUGGUAAGCGAGAUGCGCUAUGGUGGUGGGAGAGAGAUGAUUGCUAAUGGUGGUGGCGGUGAUGCCUAGUGAUGGAGUGAGAAGGAGGUGGUGUGAUGCCCAGAGGUGAUGGGAGAGGGUGAUGCCAAGUGGUGUCGGAAGAGGGAGGAGGAUGAUUCCUCAUGGUGGUGUUUACAUCAGCACGAGGCAUCAUCCCUUCCCUCGCUCAUCACCAUAAGGCAGCACCCUGCUAACUCCUAUCACCAUUAGACAUCACCACUCUCCAUUCUCCAUUAGGCAUCACAACAAUCCCACCGCCAUUGGGAUUUACCACUUUCCCAACACUAAUAUUAGGAUAGCUUCUCUCUGUCCUACAAUUAGCAGCAUGAGCAGCCAUUCCCACCUCCUCUUACCAUCUAUGUAACCAUAUAGCAGUCUCCAGCACAGCCUCACGGCUGGCAUCUUCCAAGCUCAAGCGGGCUUUUGUUUGCUCUCCCUGUUACCUGCUGGAUAGCGAGUGCACGGGUGGUUCAGAUGGGGUUAGCUGUCGCGCUGUGCGAACCUGCAGCCAGUCCUGCAAGCUGUCACCAGUGGAUCCAGGGGGAGGCACCAGGACAAAUGCCUCCCCCCACUCUCGAGAAGCCAUUGAGCGAUUUGUUGGCUAGGAGGAUCAUGGCAAGUGCCUCCCCCAAGAUGCCAGUGACAGUUAUUGUCUGGCCAUUAGUAGGGGCUGACAGAAGGAACCUCCUCACGGAGUGGGGGACGUCUCUUCAGUCAGUUCUGGCUGACAGCCAGGCAGUCCGUGGCAUCUUGGGGGGCACCUGCCAAAGUCCAUCUUACCCAACAAAUCGUACAAUCCCACAGAUAUCCCAAAGGUAGGAAUCACGGAGCAGUCCUGGAGGAUCACAUGGUCACAAGAGCAGCACCAACAACCAAGACAUUUUUUUUUUGUUUAUCUUUUUUGUGCUGUAAAAGUGAGACCCAGUAUUGUAGAUUUUGGCAACAUUAGUUAUCCCUUAUUGUUACUGGGUAUCUGGGUGUCACAUUCAUCCCCUCCAAAGCUGGGGCGUGUGGGUGCUUUUUAAAGGGGCAUGCUAACCAUCAUGGCCAUGACAGCUCAAUAUUGUAGUUAUUGUGGAAAGAGUCUAUAGCUGCCACCCCCCAUGUUUUUCUCUUGUCAUGAGCUGUAUGAUAGGCACUCCCUCACUCCAUAGACUAGUCUCUUCAGACACAUUUACUAUGCGGAAUUUACACUUGUAGUAAUCAAUAUCCAGUCUAUAUGUAUGUAAACAGGUUAUUGAUCCAAGAAGAAAUCUGAUUGCCAUUACCGAGUAAAGAAGACUUUUCCCCCCUUUAUUUUGUUUAAUUGAAAAUGGCUACAAAUUGAUUUUAUGCCUUCCUUUGGACCAACAGCAUAAAAGAAUGGGUUUCAAGGUUGAAUUUAAUGGACUUUAGUCUUUUUUCAACCUAGACUACUAUGUAACUAUACAAGCUGAAUGGCAAUCAAUUGCUCAGAGCGCUGGGCUAACCAACCCUCUGGUUAUAGUGUUUAGAUAGCUCCUUGAAUUUUAUGUAUAUAAAUCAAGUAAUUGAACAGUGAAUAUAAAUAAAAAUCUCACUCACUGACGCAGAUACACAAUUAGUCCACAAACUUAGGCCAAUGCGUCCUCUGCUCCCUCCCAACCUCUUCCACCAGAUGUUUUGUUUAGAUGGUAAAAAGGUAGUACAUUUACAGGCAGGUGUUGCUGAUAGGAAUAAUGCUGCUUGUUUUACUUCCAAGAGUUCUUCCUUAUUUGUGAGAAGUCCAGGUACUGUAACCCUGCUCUCCUGAUGCUGAGAGUCAAUGAGAGCUCUAGAAGAGAAGGCAAUGUCCAUGCCUCUCUCCUUGGGUGUCCAGGAUCAGAUGUCCCUAUGGAAAGUGAACAGGUGACAUCAGAAAGCCCUUCUAUGAGAAGAUAGGGCACAUCUGAGGCGUAGAAUCAGAAGGGGCACUUUUUGCAAUUGCAACAAGAUCUUGGCAUGCCCAGUUGUUCUUUACAGCUUGUCCAGACUGUCAUCAGCCAAGGAGAGGGGAAGCUGGAAAACUGUUAUCAUUCCAGAGAUACUACACAGCUUUUUCUCAAGUCUAGAUUUAUGGGUUUUUUUCAUGAACAUUUUUCAGUCAAACUUCCCCAGAAAACUGAUUUUUUUUACUUUUACCCAAACUAUCCUCUCCUCACCAUCUUUACUUUUAAUAUUGUUUAAAAUUGCAAAUGAACAACUUAAAAAACAAGCUAUGAACAUCUCAGUAGUCCUCUCCACUGCCAACAGUUUGGGUUAUUAUUUUUUUGCAACAAAAAUUGGUGAGACGCUGACCAAAGUACUGCUAUGGAUGAGCCUCUAUUGGAGUUAGUUGAAGAUCGAUAAAUGAAGUAUCCACCCUGCAAACCGCGGAUCACAGAAUUUAAUCUGACAGUAAAAAGGUAGGUAGCUAUAUAUUAUUUUUAUAAUCAGUCUGUAAGAUUUUAUUUUUACGUCAUUUUAUUUUGCUUUUCACUUUAUUUGGUUAAUCUUUUAAUAGCUUUUAUUUUCAAUAGCAAAUAAAUGUGACAUUUUUAUUUAAUAAAGGGUUACUCCAACCAAAAUCCAGUGUUUUCAUAAAGUACUGGUUUAGUUUGGAGUAAUCCUUUAUGUGGUUGUCUGCAACUGCCCCAAACGCCCCAAAAAAUAAAAAAUAAAUCUAUAAACUUAACCUUUUUCCUUCACCUUGGGUAAAUUUUUUCUCAGCCCAAUCUUCCUCGACUGAUAUCACUGGAGCGGCAUGGGAGGUGGACAUCAUGCCAUUGGCUGUCUGGCGCCAGCAUGGUGUACGUACUGCCAUCAGACCCCCCAUUUUGCACAGAAUUGAUAUUAACGAGCCCAAUUCUCUUGUUCUCAGGUGGCUAAUGACACCCCAUAUGUAGGUGCAGCGUUUUAAAGCAUUUUCAACUCUACACUUACAGACUCCAGGCACCAUGACCACUUUAAAUCACUGCAAUGGUCAUGGUAGUUGGAGUAACCCAUUAAAGCAGAGUUCUCCAGCUCUCUGCAUAGUAUCAUAUUAUGCUAUUAUUAAAACGUUAUGUUUGUCUUAUCCUUGGGUAAAACAGAGCCUGUCUGACACCCAUCCGGCUCUGUAAUGUAAGUCAGGAAUGUAGGUGGUGACACAUUUUUAUAAAAGAGCAGUAUUUAAGGUCUUUUUACCUCCUGUUAUUAAUUUACUAUUAUUGUAUAUAUGGCUAUUUUAAUAUUUUUUCUCUUUAUUCUACUUAUAUGUGUCGACCUUUAACAAAACUUUGACGUUUUCCUGUUCUCUCUGACAUUUUAAAUACAUGACAUCAUAUUUACGUUGCACUUUCAGUGUUAAAAAAUGUAUCAUUAAACACAAGGGUUUGUUUAUACUUUAUUUAUCUCUUUACAGUUAAUUCAAGUAUGAACCCCAGUACCGAUCAUCGAUACUAAUCUAAUCCCGAAUGAUUCAGCUAAAAUGGACGUAUUACAGGUUACAGAUUUCUCUAAGUCUGACUUUUGUCUCAGCUACUGGUUUCCGACCGUUGUCUUCCUAUCAGCGUCUAUCACUUUGUGGAUACUUAUCAACAUUGUGACUCUCGCAGCAACAGAGUAUAAACUGUCUGAUUCUAUACUAUUAUACUUCCUUCUAACAACUUUAAAAAAAAAAAAAAAAAGGAUUUAAAAAAAAUAUUUCGUUUAUAAAGUGCAGAAUGUUAUCCACAGAACCCCAGUCCACCUUGCAUACAGGAAAUAACAGGUGCCUUGACACGUCUGUUUUCAGUAUGCUACGGACGCGCGGGAUAUGACAAAUUUCAUGUGCUUAUAUAAGUCACCGGAAAGGAUUACUGUUGCAUUCUUCGAAGCACCUUCCGUUGAACCUUUAUUUUUCGCAUUCUAUUGUGAUGUAUC